AACGAACGCUGGCGGCAGGCCUAACACAUGCAAGUCGAGCGCCCAGCAAUGGGAGCGGCGGACGGGUGAGUAACACGUGGGAAUAUGCCUUUCGGUUCGGCACAACUCAGGGAAACUUGAGCUAAUUCCGGAUACGCCCUUACGGGGAAAGAUUUAUCGCCGAAAGAUUAGCCCGCGUUGGAUUAGCUAGUUGGUGAGGUAACGGCCCACCAAGGCGACGAUCCAUAGCUGGUUUGAGAGAACGACCAGCCACACUGGGACUGAGACACGGACCAGACUCCUACGGGAGGCAGCAGUAAGGAAUAUUGGCAAUGGGCGGAAGCCUGAACCAGCCAUGCCGCGUGCAGGAAG
Molecule: ribosomal RNA, 351 nt
Filed under: uncultured bacterium
Lineage: Bacteria
Description: bacterial SSU rRNA
Rfam family: Bacterial small subunit ribosomal RNA
Source: RNAcentral